UGGUUCUGGCAUCGAUGAAGAACGCAGCGAAAUGCGAUAAGUAGUGUGAAUUGCAGACUUUAGUGAAUCAUCGAAUUUUUGAACGCACAUUGCGCCCCUUGGUAUUCCAUUGGGUAUGCCUGUUCGAGCGUCAUUUCAACUCUCAAGCAUUGCUUGGUGUUGGGCGUUUGUCUACACUAUCGUAGACUCGCUCUAAAAUCAUUGGCAGCGGUUUGUCGGCCUCUCGCGCAGCACUUUGCGCUCCUCGAGGCUCUGGCGGGUUUGCGUCCAUCAAGACCAUCUUUAAGUUUGACCUCGAAUCAGGUAGGGAUACCCGCUGA
RNAcentral lists this unclassified non-coding RNA (320 nucleotides) under uncultured fungus. RNAcentral describes it as "partial contains 5.8S ribosomal RNA and internal transcribed spacer 2". The stretch from base 1 to 133 matches the Rfam family "5.8S ribosomal RNA", at positions 22 to 154 of the family's 154-position model. The record is from RNAcentral. Lineage: Eukaryota; Fungi.